GGCUGUGACACCCAGAGGAAUUCCUGUGAGAGGAUGGGGAAGGGAUUCGCUCUUAGUUCCUGGGUGCACCCCUCCCCCUCUCCCGUGCACAGGGAAAUGAUGGCGGGAACACAGCAAAGGAGACCAUGUCCUGGAGAGGGUCCCGGGCCCCACCCUCCCCGGGGGGGCUUGUGCAAGGCUGGCGGCCCGAUCUCUGCUGAUUCCAGUAUUGGGGGUGCAGAGAAGGCACAGGACAGUUUUUGUUGAAGCCGUUGCAGCCUCCACUUGGGGAAGCUGAGGCCAGGGGCACAGGACAACGUUGAGGGCCUGAGGCCUCCACCUUCUUGAAGAAGGACCAUGUGAAUUUCCUGACAGAGAACGGGGAUGGGUUUCUGAAAGCACCACCCAGCUGAGCCUGCCGAAACUGCACAGCUGUUUCCAGGCCAGGCUGGCUGCAUGGAGGACGUGAGAGGAACAGCCAGCUGUGUGUGCUGGGCCCACUGAUCAGGGUGCUCAGGACCAGGAGCCUUCUGAGGAUGUGCAGAGGGGACUCUGGGGAGAGGAACAUGGUGGCCACAGCUGGAGUGACCGCAGUGUACAGAGAUGGGAUGGGAGCAGGAAACCCAAAAGAGCCGGCCCUGGAACCAGGUGGAGGGGAGGCAGCCCGGCCAUGACCCAGAGCAGGACACCUGCUCCACUUCACCUUUUGCCAUGAGUAAAAGCUCCCUGAGGCCUCCCAAGAAGUUGAUGCCCUGUGCUUCCUGUACAGCUGCGGAACCGGAUGGCUUUCCGUGGCUUUGCU
RNAcentral lists this long non-coding RNA (781 nucleotides) under Homo sapiens (human). RNAcentral describes it as "non-protein coding H1FX-AS1:6". Lineage: Eukaryota; Metazoa; Chordata; Mammalia; Primates; Hominidae. The record is from RNAcentral.